CAAUGGGAAGUACAACGAGUCGCAAACCGGCGACGGUAAGCUAAUCUCUUAAAACUUCUCUCAGUUCGGACUGGAGUCUGCAACUCGACUCCACGAAGGCGGAAUCGCUAGUAAUCGCGAAUCAGCAUGUCGCGGUGAAUACGUUCCCGGGUCUUGUACACACCGCCCGUCAAAUCAUGGGAGUCGGAAGUACCCAAAGUCGCUUGGCUAACUUUUAGAGGCCGGUGCCUAAGGUAAAAUCGAUGACUGGGAUUAAGUCGUAACAAGGUAGCCGUAGGAGAACCUGCGGCUGGAUCACCUCCUUUCUAAGGA
This 312-nucleotide ribosomal RNA is filed under the name Oenococcus oeni. RNAcentral's name for it is "partial 16S ribosomal RNA". It matches the Rfam family "Bacterial small subunit ribosomal RNA", at positions 1228 to 1533 of the family's 1533-position model. Lineage: Bacteria; Bacillati; Bacillota; Bacilli; Lactobacillales; Lactobacillaceae. The record is from RNAcentral.